RNAcentral lists this ribosomal RNA (492 nucleotides) under uncultured bacterium. RNAcentral describes it as "partial 16S ribosomal RNA". It matches the Rfam family "Bacterial small subunit ribosomal RNA", at positions 29 to 507 of the family's 1533-position model. The record is from RNAcentral.
AGUGAACGCUGGCGGUAGGCCUAACACAUGCAAGUCGAACGGCAGCACAGUAAGAGCUUGCUCUUACGGGUGGCGAGUGGCGGACGGGUGAGGAAUACAUCGGAAUCUACUUUUUCGUGGGGGAUAACGUAGGGAAACUUACGCUAAUACCGCAUACGACCUACGGGUGAAAGCAGGGGAUCUUCGGACCUUGCGCGAUUGAAUGAGCCGAUGUCGGAUUAGCUAGUUGGCGGGGUAAAGGCCCACCAAGGCGACGAUCCGUAGCUGGUCUGAGAGGAUGAUCAGCCACACUGGAGCUGAGACGCGGUCCAGACUCCUACGGGAGGCAGCAGUGGGGAAUAUUGGGCAAUGGGCGCAAGCCUGGUCCAGCCAUACCGCGUGGGUGAAGAAGGCCUUCGGGUUGUAAAGCCCUUUUGUUGGGAAAGAAAAGCAGCAGGUUAAUACCCCGCUGUUCUGACGGUACCCAAAGAAUAAGCACCGGCUAACUUCGUG